AAAAAUAUUUUUGCAUUGGAUUCCCUCCUCACAUAAAAAACAAGAAGAAAAAGAAAAAUAAAAAAAUGGACUCCAACGUCUCUCUUCCACGCGUCCGACCCUCUCUCUCCUCUCUAUUCGCCACGUGUUCCUUAACGUAUCACACACUCCACUCAUAACAAAUUUCUCACCUACACAAAUCAGACGCCAUUCACUCAUUCUCUCCCAC
Molecule: long non-coding RNA, 208 nt
Filed under: Lathyrus oleraceus (garden pea)
Lineage: Eukaryota; Viridiplantae; Streptophyta; Magnoliopsida; Fabales; Fabaceae
Description: Pisum sativum (pea) long non-coding RNA (PSAT_LNC006211)
Source: RNAcentral